GACGAACGCUGGCGGCGUGCUUAACACAUGCAAGUCGAACGGAAAGGCCCUGCUUGCAGGGUACUCGAGUGGCGAACGGGUGAGUAACACGUGGGUGAUCUGCCCUGCACUUCGGGAUAAGCCUGGGAAACUGGGUCUAAUACCGGAUAGGAGCCAUUUUUAGUGUGAUGGUUGGAAAGUUUUUUCGGUGUAGGAUGAGCUCGCGGCCUAUCAGCUUGUUGGUGGGGUAAUGGCCUACCAAGGCGGCGACGGGUAGCCGGCCUGAGAGGGUGGACGGCCACAUUGGGACUGAGAUACGGCCCAGACUCCUACGGGAGGCAGCAGUGGGGAAUAUUGCACAAUGGGCGCAAGCCUGAUGCAGCGACGCCGCGUGGGGGAUGACGGCCUUCGGGUUGUAAACUCCUUUCGCUAGGGACGAAGCUUUUGGUGACGGUACCUAGAAGAAGCACCGGCUAACUACGU
RNAcentral lists this ribosomal RNA (462 nucleotides) under uncultured bacterium. Its description in RNAcentral is "partial 16S ribosomal RNA". It matches the Rfam family "Bacterial small subunit ribosomal RNA", at positions 28 to 506 of the family's 1533-position model. The record is from RNAcentral.